UGAGCUAGAAUUUCGGUUGCCUUACGUGG
RNAcentral lists this non-coding RNA (29 nucleotides) under Mus musculus (house mouse). Lineage: Eukaryota; Metazoa; Chordata; Mammalia; Rodentia; Muridae. The record is from RNAcentral.